CACGGCGAACAACGCGGCGCGCUUGCGUCUCUACAGCUGCUCUCAGAACUUGGGAAAGUGUUUUGAAAUUUAAUGAUCGUCGCGCAGGUGUGGACGCUCUCUAGCUUUGUCGUCUGACGUCACACGUGCGAUCUUAGUGCAAAUGACGGGAGCAAUUACACGGUAAAACGUGCAAAAAAGUGUAAACUGGAACCAAAA
Drosophila virilis is the source of this 198-nucleotide non-coding RNA. Lineage: Eukaryota; Metazoa; Arthropoda; Insecta; Diptera; Drosophilidae. The record is from RefSeq and is a predicted model, not a curated record.